Molecule: transfer RNA, 59 nt
Filed under: Loxodonta africana (African savanna elephant)
Lineage: Eukaryota; Metazoa; Chordata; Mammalia; Proboscidea; Elephantidae
Rfam family: tRNA
About the family: Transfer RNA (tRNA) molecules are approximately 80 nucleotides in length. Their secondary structure includes four short double-helical elements and three loops (D, anti-codon, and T loops).
Source: Rfam by way of RNAcentral
GUAGUGUAACGGUUAAGUGCUUGGCUGCUAACCAAAAGGUUGGUGGUUCAAACCCACCC